AGAAUAAAAUCCCGAUAGCAUAUAUUUCCCGCAUGGGUUUUAUAUUAAAGAAAUUCGGUAUGAGAUGGGGAUGCGUUCCAUUAGUUUGUUGGGGGGGUAACGGCCCACCAAGACUACGAUGGAUAGGGGUUCUGAGAGGAAGGUCCCCCACAUUGGAACUGAGACACGGUCCAAACUCCUACGGGAGGCACCAGUGAGGAAUAUUGGUCAAUGGACGCGAGUCUGAACCAGCCAAGUAGCGUGAAGGAUGACUGCCCUAUGGGUUGUAAACUUCUUUUAUAUGGGAAUAAAGUGGUCCACGUGUGGACUUUUGUAUGUACCAUAUGAAUAAGGAUCGGCUAACUCCGUGCCAGCAGCCGCGGUAAUACGGAGGAUCCGAGCGUUAACCGGAUUUAUUGGGUUUAAAGGGAGCGUAGGCGGAUUGUUAAGUCAGUUGUGAAAGUUUGCGGCUCAACCGUAAAAUUGCAGUUGAUACUGGCAGUCUUGAGUGCAGUAGAGGUGGGCGGAAUUCGUGGUGUAGCGGUGAAAUGCUUAGAUAUCACGAAGAACUCCGAUUGCGAAGGCAGCUCACUGGAGUGUAACUGACGCUGAUGCUCGAAAGUGUGGGUAUCAAACAGGAUUAGA
Molecule: ribosomal RNA, 624 nt
Filed under: uncultured bacterium
Lineage: Bacteria
Description: bacterial SSU rRNA
Rfam family: Bacterial small subunit ribosomal RNA
Source: RNAcentral